Molecule: ribosomal RNA, 194 nt
Filed under: uncultured bacterium
Lineage: Bacteria
Description: partial 16S ribosomal RNA
Rfam family: Bacterial small subunit ribosomal RNA
Source: RNAcentral
CCUACGGGAGGCAGCAGUGGGGAAUAUUGGACAAUGGGCGCAAGCCUGAUCCAGCAAUGCCGCGUGGGUGAAGACGGCCUGCGGGUUGUAAAGCCCUUUAGGCGGGGAAGAACGGCCGGGCGCGAAUAGCGCGCGGCUCUGACGUUACCCGCAGAAUAAGCACCGGCUAACUCCGUGCCAGCAGCCGCGGUAAU